This 820-nucleotide ribosomal RNA is filed under the name uncultured fungus. RNAcentral's name for it is "SSU rRNA". It matches the Rfam family "Eukaryotic small subunit ribosomal RNA", at positions 1 to 852 of the family's 1831-position model. Lineage: Eukaryota; Fungi. The record is from RNAcentral.
CCUGGUUGAUUCUGCCAUUUAGUCAUAUGCUUGUCUCAAAGAUUAAGCCAUGCAUGUCUAAGUAUAAGCAACUUUGUACUGUGAAACUGCGAAUGGCUCAUUAAAUCAGUUAUAGUUUAUUUGAUGGUUUUUGCUACAUGGAUAACUGUGGUAAUUCUAGAGCUAAUACAUGCAUUCAAGCCCCGACUUCUGGAAGGGGUGUAUUUAUUAGAUAAAAAUCAACUUUGUUGGUGAAUCAUAAUAACUUCUCGGACCGCAUGGCCUCGUGCUGGCGGUGCUUCAUUCAAAUAUCUGCCCUAUCAACUGUCGAUGGUAGGAUAGAGGCCUACCAUGGUUGCAACGGGUAACGGGGAAUAAGGGUUCGAUUCCGGAGAGGGAGCCUGAGAAACGGCUACCACAUCCAAGGAAGGCAGCAGGCGCGCAAAUUACCCAAUCCCAACACGGGGAGGUAGUGACAAUAUGUAACAAUAUACGGCCUUAUACGUCGUAUAAUUGGAAUGAGUACAAUUUAAAUCCCUUAACGAGGAACAAUUGGAGGGCAAGUCUGGUGCCAGCAGCCGCGGUAAUUCCAGCUCCAAUAGCGUAUAUUAAAGUUGUUGCAGUUAAAAAGCUCGUAGUUGGACCUUGGACCUGGACAGGCGGUCCGCCUCACGGCGAGUACUGUCUUGCUGGGUCUUUCCUCUUGGUGAUCUGUUGUUUCGGCAGCAGGGAACCAGGACCUUUACUUUGAAAAAAUUAGAGUGUUCAAAGCAGGCUCGACGCCGGAAUAUAUUAGCAUGGAAUAAUAAAAUAGACGUGCGGUUCUAUUUUGUUGGUUUUU